RNAcentral lists this ribosomal RNA (481 nucleotides) under uncultured bacterium. RNAcentral describes it as "partial 16S ribosomal RNA". It matches the Rfam family "Bacterial small subunit ribosomal RNA", at positions 28 to 507 of the family's 1533-position model. The record is from RNAcentral.
GAUGAACGCUGGCGGCGUGCUUAACACAUGCAAGUCGAACGAAGCAUUUAGAACGGAUUACUUCGGUUUGAAGUUCUUUAUGACUGAGUGGCGGACGGGUGAGUAACGCGUGGGUAACCUGCCUUGUACUGGGGGAUAGCAGCUGGAAACGGCUGGUAAUACCGCAUAAGCGCACAAUGUUGCAUGACAUGGUGUGAAAAACUCCGGUGGUAUAAGAUGGACCCGCGUCUGAUUAGCUAGUUGGUGAGAUAACAGCCCACCAAGGCGACGAUCAGUAGCCGACCUGAGAGGGUGACCGGCCACAUUGGGACUGAGACACGGCCCAGACUCCUACGGGAGGCAGCAGUGGGGAAUAUUGCACAAUGGAGGAAACUCUGAUGCAGCGACGCCGCGUGAGUGAAGAAGUAAUUCGUUAUGUAAAGCUCUAUCAGCAGGGAAGAUAGUGACGGUACCUGACUAAGAAGCUCCGGCUAAAUACGUG